UACGGAGGGUGCAAGCGUUAUCCGGAUUCACUGGGUUUAAAGGGUGCGCAGGCGGAUUUGUAAGUCAGUGGUGAAAGCCCCGGGCUCAACCUGGGAAUUGCCGUUGAUACUGCAAGUCUUGAGUGCAGUUGAGGUGGGCGGAAUACAUCAUGUAGCGGUGAAAUGCUUAGAUAUGAUGUAGAACACCGAUUGCGAAGGCAGCUCACUAAACUGCAACUGACGCUCAGGCACGAAAGCGUGGGUAUCAAACAGG
RNAcentral lists this ribosomal RNA (253 nucleotides) under uncultured bacterium. RNAcentral's name for it is "partial 16S ribosomal RNA". It matches the Rfam family "Bacterial small subunit ribosomal RNA", at positions 524 to 776 of the family's 1533-position model. The record is from RNAcentral.